UCAGUUGAAGGCGGGCUGGACCUCUCGGGGUUACAGCCUUGCUGAAUUAUUCACCCUUGUCUUUUGCGUACUUCUUGUUUCCUUGGUGGGUUCGCCCACCACUAGGACAAACAUAAACCUUUUGUAAUUGCAAUCAGCGUCAGUAACAAAUUAAUAAUUACAACUUUCAACAACGGAUCUCUUGGUUCUGGCAUCGAUGAAGAACGCAGCGAAAUGCGAUAAGUAGUGUGAAUUGCAGAAUUCAGUGAAUCAUCGAAUCUUUGAACGCACAUUGCGCCCUUUGGUAUUCCAAAGGGCAUGCCUGUUCGAGCGUCAUUUGUACCCUCAAGCUUUGCUUGGUGUUGGGCGUCUUGUCUCUAGCUUUGCUGGAGACUCGCCUUAAAGUAAUUGGCAGCCGGCCUACUGGUUUCGGAGCGCAGCACAAGUCGCACUCUCUAUCAGCAAAGGUCUAGCAUCCAUUAAGCCUUUUUUUCAACUUUUGACCUCGGAUCAGGUAGGGAUACCCGCUGAACUUAAGCAUACUAAAACGGGGGAGAGAGAAAAAGAGGGAUUUACCCAAUUACGGGGGGGGAGGCGGGAACCCCUCUGGGGGUUACGCCCUGGCUAAAUUAUUCACCCUGGUCUUUUGGGGUACUUCUGGUUUCCUGGGUGGGUUCGCCCACACUAGGGACAAACAUAAACUUUUUGGUAGUUGCAAUCAGCGUGCGUUACACAAUUAAAUAAGUUACACUUCAACGGGAAGCUUUGGGUUCUGCUCAUUAUAAGCACAAUGCAUUAGUAAGUGUGGAUGCGGUCAUGAUCACGAACUUGAGCAUGUCGAUUAUCGAGCAGCUGAUCAUGUCAACAUGCUGGGGU
RNAcentral lists this ribosomal RNA (855 nucleotides) under Alternaria sp. NsE+15. Its description in RNAcentral is "eukaryotic LSU rRNA". The stretch from base 162 to 315 matches the Rfam family "5.8S ribosomal RNA". The record is from RNAcentral. Lineage: Eukaryota; Fungi; Ascomycota; Dothideomycetes; Pleosporales; Pleosporaceae.